Molecule: ribosomal RNA, 468 nt
Filed under: uncultured bacterium
Lineage: Bacteria
Description: partial 16S ribosomal RNA
Rfam family: Bacterial small subunit ribosomal RNA
Source: RNAcentral
GACGAACGCUGGCGGCGUGCUUAACCCAUGCAAGUCGAACGGAAAGGCCCUGCUUUUGUGGGGUGCUCGAGUGGCGAACGGGUGAGUAACACGUGAGUAACCUGCCCUUGACUUUGGGAUAACUUCAGGAAACUGGGGCUAAUACCGGAUAGGAGCUCUUGCUGCCUGGUGGGGGUUGGAAAGUUUCGGCGGUUGGGGAUGGACUCGCGGCUUAUCAGCUUGUUGGUGGGGUAGUGGCUUACCAAGGCUUUGACGGGUAGCCGGCCUGCGAGGGUGACCGGCCACAUUGGGACUGAGAUACGGCCCAGACUCCUACGGGAGGCAGCAGUGGGGAAUAUUGCACAAUGGGCGGAAGCCUGAUGCAGCAACGCCGCGUGCGGGAUGACGGCCUUCGGGUUGUAAACCGCUUUCGCCUGUGACGAAGCGUGAGUGACGGUAAUGGGUAAAGAAGCACCGGCUAACUACGUG